CGGGGGGGGCAAGCGUUGUUCGGAAUUACUGGGCGUAAAGGGCUCGUAGGCGGCCAACUAAGUCGGACGUGAAAUCCCCAGGCUCAACCUGGGAACUGCGUCUGAUACUGGAUGGCUUGAAUCCGGGAGAGGGAUGCAGAAUUCCAGGUGUAGCGGUGAAAUGCGUAGAUAUCUGGAGGAAUACCGGUGGCGAAGGCGGCAUCCUGGACCGGCAUUGACGCUGAGGAGCGAAAGCCAGGGGAGCAAACGGG
RNAcentral lists this ribosomal RNA (251 nucleotides) under uncultured bacterium. RNAcentral describes it as "partial 16S ribosomal RNA". It matches the Rfam family "Bacterial small subunit ribosomal RNA", at positions 526 to 776 of the family's 1533-position model. The record is from RNAcentral.